Small nucleolar RNA from Jaculus jaculus (lesser Egyptian jerboa), 136 nucleotides. Lineage: Eukaryota; Metazoa; Chordata; Mammalia; Rodentia; Dipodidae. The record is from Ensembl.
UUGGCCUUGAGUCAUGGCUAGCAGUUUGCUGAAGUUGUUGUCUUCAAGUAAGAGCUUAAAGAAAUGUCUUUCUAUGGUCUAUUGGCCAUUUUAUAAAUUUGGAAAGUAAUGGUGAACUCAUUAGAAAGAAACAUCU